Molecule: transfer RNA, 87 nt
Filed under: Actinomycetota bacterium
Lineage: Bacteria; Bacillati; Actinomycetota
Description: tRNA-Leu
Rfam family: tRNA
About the family: Transfer RNA (tRNA) molecules are approximately 80 nucleotides in length. Their secondary structure includes four short double-helical elements and three loops (D, anti-codon, and T loops). Further hydrogen bonds mediate the characteristic L-shaped molecular structure. tRNAs have two regions of fundamental functional importance: the anti-codon, which is responsible for specific mRNA codon recognition, and the 3' end, to which the tRNAs corresponding amino acid is attached (by aminoacyl-tRNA synthetases). tRNAs cope with the degeneracy of the genetic code in two manners: having more than one tRNA (with a specific anti-codon) for a particular amino acid; and 'wobble' base-pairing, i.e. permitting non-standard base-pairing at the 3rd anti-codon position.
Source: RNAcentral
GCCCGAGUGGCGGAAUAGGCAGACGCAGCGGACUUAAAAUCCGCCGACCUUUAGGUUGUGCCGGUUCGACUCCGGCCUCGGGCACCA